This 523-nucleotide ribosomal RNA is filed under the name uncultured bacterium. Its description in RNAcentral is "bacterial SSU rRNA". It matches the Rfam family "Bacterial small subunit ribosomal RNA", at positions 8 to 526 of the family's 1533-position model. The record is from RNAcentral.
AGAGUUUGAUCAUGGCUCAGAUUGAACGCUGGCGGCAUGCCUUACACAUGCAAGUCGAACGGCAGCACGGGGGCAACCCUGGUGGCGAGUGGCGAACGGGUGAGUAAUACAUCGGAACGUGCCCAGUCGUGGGGGAUAACGUAGCGAAAGCUACGCUAGUACCGCAUACGAACUCUGGUUGAAAGCGGGGGAUCGCAAGACCUCGCGCGAUUGGAGCGGCCGAUGGCAGAUUAGGUAGUUGGUGGGGUAAAGGCUCACCAAGCCGACGAUCUGUAGCUGGUCUGAGAGGACGACCAGCCACACUGGGACUGAGACACGGCCCAGACUCCUACGGGAGGCAGCAGUGGGGAAUUUUGGACAAUGGGCGCAAGCCUGAUCCAGCCAUUCCGCGUGCAGGAUGAAGGCCCUCGGGUUGUAAAGCUCUGUUGUUAGGGAAGAACAAGUACCGGAGUAACUGCCGGUACCUUGACGGUACCUAACCAGAAAGCCACGGCUAACUACGUGCUAGCCGCCGCGGUAAUAC